AUUCCNCNGUGGNGAAUAUUGGACAAUGGGGGCAACCCUGAUCCAGCAAUGCCGCGUGUGUGAAGAAGGUUUUCGGAUUGUAAAGCACUUUNGGCGGGGACGAUGAUGACGGUACCCGCAGAAGAAGCCCCGGCUAACUUCGUGCCAGCAGCCGCGGUAAUAAAUA
RNAcentral lists this ribosomal RNA (166 nucleotides) under uncultured pozol bacterium #1. RNAcentral describes it as "partial 16S small subunit ribosomal RNA". It matches the Rfam family "Bacterial small subunit ribosomal RNA", at positions 346 to 529 of the family's 1533-position model. The record is from RNAcentral.